GAUGAAGAACGUAGUGAAACGCGAUAGGUAAUGUGAAUUGCAGAAUUCCGUGAAUCAUCGAAUCUUUGAACGCACAUUGCGCCCGCCAGUAUUCUGGCGGGCAUGCCUGUUCGAGCGUCAUUUCAACCAUCAAGCCCCCGGCUUGUGUUGGGGACCUGCGGCUGCCGCAGGCCCUGAAAACCAGUGGCGGGCUCGCUAGUCACUCCGAGCGUAGUAAUACAUCUCGCUCAGGGCGUGCUGCGGGUUCCGGCCGUUAAAAAGCCUUAUUUACCCAAGGUUGACCUCGGAUCAGGUAGGAAGACCCGCUGAACUUAAGCAUAUCAAUAAGCGGAGGA
RNAcentral lists this unclassified non-coding RNA (335 nucleotides) under soil metagenome. Its description in RNAcentral is "partial contains 5.8S ribosomal RNA, internal transcribed spacer 2, and large subunit ribosomal RNA". The stretch from base 1 to 120 matches the Rfam family "5.8S ribosomal RNA", at positions 35 to 154 of the family's 154-position model. The record is from RNAcentral.